CAAGUAAAUUACAGAUUGAACUUCUGAAUUGUUUGCAGCCAUUUUUUAUUCCAAACAUGUAUGUUUUUGUAAACCUGACAUUUCCCAAACAGUGCAAGUGAAUCAGAAGUGACUGCUUAGACUUUAAUACACGUGACAUUGUGAGGCAGCACAACCUCCCCCCACCCACCAAAAUUCCUCAGUGGAAAUGUACAUGGAUGCAUCAGUAAAGUUCUGGAAAUGCAGAUAGCGUGGGUGCCUGCCAAGCAAUUAAUCACUCGUAAAGCUUUUAAACUCACUCUGCCAGUCACACCGUGCACAUUAGAAUUAAAACAACAACAUCAACAAAGAAAAAACCUUAACACAGUCUGAAAUCUAGAUCAUUGUGCUAUAAAGCAUUGCACGAUGUUGGGAAAUUUGUUCACUUAUUCCCCCCAUGUGCUGAAAAUUCAGAAGACAUCCUAGAAGUUUCAUUUUGGCCCUACUGGCUCUGUAUUCUCCCUUCAGCCACUCUUUGAAUAUUCUCCACUGUGUAUAUUAUUAUUCUAUAUAUCAAAAUAUCAGCUAAAAGUGUGCAUACUAAAGCAUUUCUGAAAUGAUGCUCACUUUCUGCCUUUUGUCUACUAAAGGCUCCAAGUGACAAUCCUUUCCAGCACCUCUAAAUUUUGAGAAGUUUGAGCCAAGUAUACAGUUCACCAGAUGUACGUUUCACACGUAACCCAGACAUAACUGCAUGCACCUGGCCAUAAUGCCUUACCCAAAAAUAAAAGUCAUAAAUAACCUUUUAAAAAGCCACCAUGCUAGGGUUCAACAGGUAGCAUACAGCACACGGAUCGUCUGGGGAUCUGCUAUGCUUCCGCAUGGAAAACAGGAUGUUCCCAGGAGUGCUGUUGGGUUUUUGUUUUAAACCUCAUUGCCUUUGGCUCAAGGGCAGUAGCUACAUGAUUUGGUGAAGGAGGACUUCCUAGUGGAUCUUCUACAAGGUCUACCAUACCUCUGAGUACCCAUGAUGCUGACAGUUUUCCUAAAGAACUGCCUGAGGAAACCUCAGUGCUGAGUUAUUCGGAAUGGAUGCCUGUCAGUUGCCACUAAGCCAGUGGACCCUGCCCCUCCUGCUAGUGUCCCCUUGUUUCUAAACAUCAUGGCCUCUUCUUUGUGACAGCUCUAUGGCCCACUUGGAGGAUGUUCCAAACUCUCCUGAGUCCUAUGUAAAUUAAGCAUAAGCAAAACUUUUUUUAAAAAAGGGGCACUGUUUUACUCCAUUUUUACAAAGGUCCUUUUUCAUAUUUAAAAACCAUUUCAGUUCUCUGAACAGUUGGUUAAAACCACAUUGAAGAUUCAACUAAAAGCUGAAGGAAACUGAAAUAAUACUGCUCAGGAGAAUAUCUUAUAGGAUUCCACAGUGAAACCAUGGAAGCAGGAAGGGGAGAAAGUAGAACAUACUGUAGAAUUUUCAAAUAAUAUUCUGGAAGGGUAACACAGAUGUACUGAUCCACCCCAUCUGCUUCCCCUGAGAGCAUAGAGAGGGCUUCUGAGCUGGGAAGGAGCUUGUGAACUGCCCAAGUUGAGAGAGCGCUAACGAUAUGCUUGACUUCUCUAUCACUGCACAAAAUGCUUAACUCCCCAGUCCCCGUAGCCCACCUGCUACUCAGCACGAUCAGACCAGCAGAGGCAUCAUCCUUCCCCAGACAGGUUCCUGGGGAGGCUUUCAGUAUCUGCUGGUGGUGAUGCCAAGGCUGGUUUUCUUAAAACCUGCCUUUAUAAAGUCUUAGUGACCUCCUGGGUAUACAGCUGCUCAUGUGGGUCCACCCACGCAGAAUCAAGCAGAAGCAAAUAGGUCCCAGCUCUGAGACUGCCCACAGGAGUCUACCCUUCUCCAGUGGGGCUUUGCUGGUGGGCAGAACAUGGGCCUGCGAAUCACCCUUCUACACUGUCACCAACGCACCUACACCCCGGCAGGAGGCAAGUUAGUUGCUCUAAGUGCAUGUGGCCAAAGCUGUUGAUGGUGCUGUUCCAGAAAUAUCACCUAAGAAUCCUAAAUGAUUCAUUAAAGAAAACAUGGCAUUAUGAACAAGAGUCCAUCAAAGGAAAGCUGCAAAUGGCAUCCCAUUCAAAAAGUCCACAUGCCACUGCAUUUUGCCACCCUGAGGCAAAAUGUCCCUGAAGUGUUCUCUGGGGAACCUCCAGCACCUUGCACAGUGCCUGACACACAGCAGGGGCCUCAUAAAUGGCUGUUAAUAAGUGAUAAAACCCACCCAAGACUGCUUUUCUUGCUGCUUUUGAUAAAACUCAUAAGCGAACUCUGAGUGACAGCUGCUUUCUUUGCCUCGUCCUGCUCCCUGUAGCUACCUCUGUGCCUCCAUCCCACAGUUAGAUGCAACAUCCCUGAUUUCCAGGAUCAGCUUAGUUCAUGCCAUUGACCCUUGAUUUUUUUGGUCUAUUCCCAUGUUCACCAGGAAGAGAAGCAUGAGGUUACAUCUGUAAUCUCCCUGCAGCAGAGUCAACUGCAUAAGAAACCAAAAGACACACCUGCUCCAUGCCAGCUUCGAUAAUUUCUUUGUACCUUCGGCGAAAGAAGCCCAUCUGAAAGGCAGAAAGAAAGAGAAGCUGAGUUAGAAGUGCUGAAGAAUCAGCCAUUGUGACCCCAAGGCAGUCUGUCCCUGGCCUAAGCCACCACAUAAAAAGUCAGACCAUCUGCUGGAAGAACCACAUGGAGAGGCCCUGAGUCAACAUGGAGAGGAAGAAGGACUUGACUGAAUCCAGCCUUCCAGCUGUCCCUACCAAGGUGCCAGGCAUGAGAAUGAAGCUGUCUUGAACUCUGAAGACCAGCUUAGCCACCAGGUAAAUGCCACUAAGUGACCUCACUCAAUGUCAUGUGGGACGGAAGAAUCACCCCGCCAAACCCUUCCUGGAUCCCUGACCCAGAAAUUUGUCAGAUGUAAUGGUUGUGAAAAGCCAUUCAAUUUGGGGGCAGUUUGUAUGCAGCAUAGCUAGCUGGUAUGAUACAACAGCCUGCAAUUCAGGCAGCAGCAGCACUAACAACGAUGAAAUCCUGCAGGAGCGAACUCCUUUGGGGUGCCUGCCUAAUUGUUUUCUUUUCUGAGAGUCUCCUCCCCAGUAUCCCCUAAACCACCAUCCUGCAUCUUUCUCCCCCACUAGCCUCCGUGGGAGACAUAUGACCCACAUUGGGCCAGGUGGAUUCUCUCCCUCCCAACUCCCUUCCUCCCUUCCACAGUUGAUGGGAGUAGACAUUUGACUAGAGCUGGGCCAGGCAGAUCCUCUCUCCCAGAUAUGUGGGACCAGGAAUCAGAGGUGGCUGAUCAUUCUGCGUCUGUGGCUAGUAGUCCUUGAGAUGCAAGUUUGGAGGGGCUGGAGGCAACUAUCUCCCUACGAUGUGUAGGGAAACAUAGAGAAAGCUGGUCUGCGGUGGGAAGAGAAUGAUGCGGAUGUGUAGCCAAGUAGAGAGAAGGGGCUUCCUUCUGUUGACCUUCCUUCUGCUGGGUGGGGGCGACAGGGAGUGAGGCAAGCCCAGCCUUGUCUCCUAGCCUCCUCUAAGCACCACUCACUCAGAAAGCCCAACACCAAGCUCCUCCUCUUGCCAAACUAAUUCGCAUCUUGCCUUCCCCACCCUGAUUAAGGGCACCCAUCCUUUGUCUGAACUUAUCUUAAGGAGAGACAGCUAUUCUUUUUUUCUCCCUGACCUCUCAAGUCCAACUGGUCAGCAAACCCUGCCUGUCCUACCUUGACCCAUGGCAAUGGCCCUACUCUUGCCCCCACACUGUCCCUAGAUCUCUCUUUCCUUUUAGAGACAGGGUCUUGCUCUACCACCUGGUGCAGUGGUAUGAUCAUAGCUCACUGCAACUUCAAAUUCUUAGGCUCAAGUAAACCUCUGGCCUUGGCCUCCCAAAGCACUGGGAUUACAGGCAUGAGCCACUGCACCCAGCCCCAGAUCUCUCUCUCGACACAGAUCUGGUCAUGCCACCGCUCUGCUCACAGACCUCCCAUGCUCCCCCUUUGUCCUGGUUAGCAGUGGCCUUCACAACUGUGGCAGACGGUCUUGCUGCAGGUCAGUGACUGCCCUGACAAACUUUACAAGCUGCUCUCCACAAACCCUGCUUAUUUUCCCACCUCUUCCUUCCCUCUGGAUGGAAUCUUCAUCUACCCUUCCCUGCCUGGAAAACUCAAACCACACUAAAGGUCAGACUCGAAUGACACCUCAUUUAUGAAAUAUCCCCUGGCUUCUGUGUGCUAAGCGCAGUGCUAAACAUUUUCCUUGCAUAACCUCUACAUACCAAACUGGAGGUGAUGGUCUCCUUUUUACAGAGGAAGAAACUGAGGGUCACAGAAGGUAAGCAGCCCCCUUAAGGCCUCAUGUCAGGCAAGUGUGAGAGUCAGGAUUGCUGCCCACAGCUGUCAGCCUGAAAGCUGCUCUCAUCUACCACACUGUUCUCUGUGACCUUUUAAUCCUCCCUCCUCCUUGGGGGCAAGGGAGGGGGACUCAUGGCACCUUCUUCUCAGUUUCCAGAGCAGUUACUGCGCAGCACUCACCACCCUCCAUUAUGCCUGCAGGUCUAUUGCUAGGUGGUGAGGCGGUCAAGUGCAGGGAAGGGCACAGUUAUUGCUGCAUCCCAGUGCCUAGUCCAGGCAAAGCAAGGACUGGGGCAAAGUAAGCGUUCGAGAAAUGUGAGCCGAAAUGAGAUACUGCUCUGGGUUGACUAGCAAAGCUGUUGUGACCCAGGUGGCCUCAUUCAACAGCCUCCUCAAAGCUUUCCUGCCACCCGUUAGUUACGGCAAGCCCUGGUCUGGGCACACGGUGUGUCCCUGGCGGCCGUGACUGCCCUCUCCCUCCCAGUCUGUGGCAGAGGGCAGAGUCUGCCUUCUCAGGUCCUGGCUCUUUGGAUCCCACACAGCUGGGUGACCUCAGGGUUCUCCCCACCCAUGACAGCAUCUCCUGCAACCAUGCUUUUUUAAACAAACACAGCAAAAGCAAGGCAAAGCAGGUGGUGGGCUGGAGGAGGCAGGGGCUGUGCAGAGGAGACAGGACACCCCUGAGAGGCAGAGCCAGGUGGGGCGGCCAGAAGGAGGGCAUGCAGACUAUAAGGGGAAGUGGGGCACGGCCACAACACUCCCCACUCUGUGCCCUGUCUGGUUCCACACACCCAGCCAUAAAGGACACAGCUCCUCUCAUUUUAAGAGCCCAUAUAAAGGCAGAAGGAAGUCACAUACACACACACACACGCGCACGCACACACACACACACCCACACACACUCAUGCACCAAAGCCCUCAACUCAGCAAGAAGCCUUGUCUUUUCAGAUGCCAAACACUGAGCAGGCUUUGUUCUCCACCCACAAACCAGAGGCUGUCUCAGCAGGAAGGAGUUGGAGUUGGAGAAAAAGGAGAAUUAAGAAUCUAUCUGGCGAUGUGGAUUAAAUAAACAACAAAUUGGCAGAUUGUUUUUAAAAGGUAACAUCCACUAUUGGCAAACAGACAUUUCUGAUACACUGCUUGUGGGAGGGUGAAUUGGUAUGACCUUUCUACAGGGCAAUCUGCAAUAGUAAUAAAAGGCUUAGGCCGGGCGGGGUGGCUCACACCUGUAAUCCCAGCACUUUGGGAGGCUAAGGCGGGAGGAUCACCUGAGGUCAAGAGUUCAAGACCACCCUGGCCAACAUGGCAAAACCUGGUCUCUACUAAAAAUACAAAAAAAAAAAAAAAA
Molecule: long non-coding RNA, 5695 nt
Filed under: Homo sapiens (human)
Lineage: Eukaryota; Metazoa; Chordata; Mammalia; Primates; Hominidae
Description: PREDICTED lncRNA (TCONS_00191553)
Source: RNAcentral